This 3325-nucleotide long non-coding RNA is filed under the name Lactuca sativa (garden lettuce). RNAcentral describes it as "long non-coding RNA (LSAT_LNC009112)". Lineage: Eukaryota; Viridiplantae; Streptophyta; Magnoliopsida; Asterales; Asteraceae. The record is from RNAcentral.
GAAGAUGAUAUCAUUAAAUCUAAGGAAAUGAAUUACAAACUAUAUUGAAUGAAGCAAGAACCUCAAACAAUCCCAGGGAAUCUCCUUCUCUCACUAGCUAAAUGCUAAGAGCCAAGAACAUUGAACAAUACUUAAUCGACAUCCCCAAAAUGAAAUUACUCUCCCCUCUUUAUUCUACUCUCUCUCUCUCUCUCUCUCUCCCUAACUGACUUUCUAGCCACUUUCCAUUUUUGCCCUUCUGCCCUUUCUAGAAUGCACAUGUAAUAUUCCUAGUUUAUUUAUAUCAAGGCCCAACCAUUCUGAAUCUGUAUCAUUACUCCCUCCUUCAAAGAAAGUCUUGUCCUCAAGACUUGCUUGAAGACUUUGACAACUAAUAGCCCAUCCAUCUGCCAGUGUAUUGUCUCCUACUGUACCUCCUUUCCACCUAAUUAACCAUAGAUGCAGUUGGUCCAGGUAAUGCUUAAACAUAUGAAUAGUCGACAUUUCUGCUCUUUUGGUAUUUGCAAUUGUACUUCCUAUCCACGGAAUGAUCCAUUGAUCUACCGUAAGUGGCCUCAAUCCGUCAUCAUGGCUGUGCCAUUCUUCCCUCCUUGCUUGUACCCAAACGCUAUUCUCUACAUGUUGAACUACCAUUGAAGUGUUCCGAUUAUACCCAAUUUCAUAUGUAAACUUUUCGGUGGACUGAUUGAAAGUAGAAUUAGUCCCAUGUUUUGUCCACGUAAUCCAAUUAGAACACCAAUGGAGUAGAUCCAGCAAAUGACAGAUCACUUCCCAAACAAGAUUUUUGGUAAUCAACUCUGCCAUAUACCUAGAUGGUAGCUCCUGCAUUUGGCUUGAACAUAAACUAACUUCUGUAUCCCAAUUGUGGAUUACUUUUCCAAAAGAUGUGAGCCAUUCCAUUCCCAAAAUCAAGUCAGUGUUACCAUACUUAGAAACUAAUGACUUCACUUCAAUUGAACAACAUCCUAAUUGAAUGAUUAACUCCACACAUAAGUCGAUCACAAACACCAAUUGAUUAUCACUCUGUCCUGAUUGAGAAUUAGCAACAACUCCAAAUAACUCAAAAAUUUGACACUGUCCCACAAAAACAUUCUUUGACAAUUGAUCAAUUGGUACCUGAUUAGCAUCCCACGCAUAGUGAUUGCAGUCUUCUUUGCAUUUAUGACAUUUGUGAGACAAGCCGACUAGAGAACCACCAUGAAAACUUGGGUCCUUUUUCUUUCGUUCCUUCCAUUCCGUGCGACUCGACGAUCUAACUCUCCGAUCCCAUUGAAACACAUAAGCCAUUGUCGGCGUUGGGGAAGGUGAUGGCAGCUGAUUAGGAUAGAUGUGGUUAUUUUCAUUCCAAUUAACAAAGCGUUGAUCAGUGGCCUUAUUAACUAGUGGGUUUAUAUUUUGUUUUCUCGUUAAAACCCAGUCUAUCUUUCGAUUUAACAAUUGUGAGCCCCAUGAAUCAAUUGCAGCCCAAUUGUAAUUUUUAAGCCCAUUGGAAGGGUAACCUAGAUAACCCCAUUCUAAACGGUUGUUAAACGGAGUCGUUUUCUCCCAAGAGCUCCGUUUGGACUCCAUCAUCGUUCCCCCGUACUUUUUGUCAAUUCUCGACAGCAGGGGUGGUGGUGGUGGUGAUGGCGGCGGCAAUGGUGACGGAGGCGGCGGUCUACUAAUUGGAAUCAUCACUUUCUUUGCUGCUUCCUUUUUUUCAAUUCCAAAUUUAAUCUCCGUGAAAUACUUCUCAUAAUCUCCCGGUUGUUCCAUUCCUACAAUCCAGGUAUUUAGAUACUUUCCGUUAAGGUUGAGGGUGGAUUGGAUUGUAAACUUCUCUUUCAUUUCACCUUGAUUCGAGAUUAAUCCCAUUGGCUUUCCAUAUUUUUCUUCUUCCAUGGUCGUUAGUGGCAGUGGUGAUGGUAGGCACGACGUUAGGUUUGGCGGUAGAGUCUGAGGGGUUGUUUUGGAUUCCGAUUCUGACUCAUAAACCCCCAAUAAUACUUCAUCUCCAUCAGGUGGUGAUAUUUCGUUGCUUUCACGAUCUAUUUCAUCCAAAAUCAUUGAAGAUGCCACCGAAGGCAAACCCAACGAUGCGACCUGAACGACACGGGAAGUAGGAUGAGACUGGAAACCGCUAACUAUGCCAGACGAAUCCCUAGAAGCAUCAUCAACCACCGACUUUGGUAAUGUCCCAGUCGGAUCGGAAACAAUGCUAAUAUAUGAGAAAAACUCUGGAUCCUGUUGCUUCAUCCAAUCAAGCAGUACUUCACGAAACGCAACCUCUUCUACCCGUUCUGAGGCCAUAGAUGUCCUGAUUUCCUGUAUGUCUUCGUGAAUCCUUGCUAUUUGCUUAUCAUGAUGAUCCAGACGCUGAGAGACAGAUUUAGUUUCCACCAAUGGUUGCACCAUUGUUACUCAACUCCGACAGGUCAAGGCAGGUCGGACCAAUGAUGAAAAAUAGAAAUCAAUAGAUAAUGAAACUAAAGAGAAACAGGAAGAAUCAGAGAAAAAGAAGAUGAUAUCAUUAAAUCUAAUGAAAUGAAUUACAAACUAUAUUGAAUGAAGCAAGAACCUCAAACAAUCCCAGGGAAUCUCCCUCUCUCACUAGCUAAAUGCUAAGAGCCAAGAACAUUGAACAAUACUUAAUCGACAUCCCCAAAAUGAAAUUACUCUUCCCUCUCUCUCUCUCUCUCUCUCUCUCUCUCUCUCUCCCACCUAACUGACUUUCUAGCCACUUUCCAUUUUUGCCCUUCUGCCCUUUCUAGAAUGCACAUGUAAUAUUCCUAGUUUAUUUAUAUCAAGGCCCAACCAUUCUGAAUCUGUAUCAGACUACUGUUGAAAAGGUGGUAGAUAGUAUUUAGUCUAUUAUUUUCACUUGGCUAAAGUUUAGGAGAGAUAAACGUUCAUAUGUUUGGGCGGAAUGGUGUUCUUGUCCGCUAUCCUGUUUGUAAACUUUCUUUCUUUAUUCCCUUUGGUCUAGCUUCUUGUUAGAUUUGGUGAGUUUUAUUAAUAUAUUUGCCGGUUCAAAAAAAAAACUAAUAAGUUGUUUUGCCAAAUAUCCCAUGUAUUUUCACCAAAUUUUAUUGUUUCAUAUUGUAAAAAAUGGCCACAAACAUGCUAAAAAGUAUGAACGAACCCAAGGUAAAACAUGGGGUUCAUUUGUCAUAUAGAAACCCCAUGAUUGUAAUUAAUUUAUAUAAGUUAUAACUGUCUCCACUGAGUAUUAAUCGUUAAGUAUGCACGAAUAGAAUGUGAAACCAAAAUUGUUCGUCCCAAUUUGAUUUUCAUAAAGCUAGUCCUAUUUCUUUCAUGAUAUUACUUUUAGUCUUGUGAACAGCAA